This 430-nucleotide ribosomal RNA is filed under the name uncultured bacterium. RNAcentral describes it as "partial 16S ribosomal RNA". It matches the Rfam family "Bacterial small subunit ribosomal RNA", at positions 354 to 796 of the family's 1533-position model. The record is from RNAcentral.
GUGGGGAAUAUUGCACAAUGGGCGCAAGCCUGAUGCAGCAACGCCGCGUGAGGGAUGACGGCCUUCGGGUUGUAAACCUCUUUUAGUAGGGAAGAAGCGAAAGUGACGGUACCUGCAGAAAAAGCACCGGCUAACUACGUGCCAGCAGCCGCGGUAAUACGUAGGGUGCAAGCGUUGUCCGGAAUUAUUGGGCGUAAAGAGCUCGUAGGCGGCUUGUCGCGUCUGCUGUGAACUCCCGGGGCUCAACCCCGGGCCUGCAGUGGGUACGGGCAGGGUAGAGUGCGGUAGGGGAGAGUGGAAUUCCUGGUGUAGCGGUGGAAUGCGCAGAUAUCAGGAGGAACACCGAUGGCGAAGGCAGAUCUCUGGGCCGCUACUGACGCUGAGGAGCGAAAGCAUGGGGAGCGAACAGGAUUAGAAACCCUGGUAGUCC